UAAUAACAGGAAAUAUGACAAUUGCUUCCAAGAGAACUGCAAGAAAUGUACAGCCUGAUGACACAAGGAAGACAAUAAAGAGAAUCCAAAAUGAGUAGCAUUAUAGAGAUGCAGGAUAAGGAGGGCAAUCAUCCUAUACUACUUCAGUCAGCCCAGUUUAAGAAGUUCAUAGUGCCUUAUUUUGGGAAGGAUGUACCCAAUCGGAUCAGGUCCAAAGAAGAGUCACUGAAUGGUGAAAGAACUUUUAUGACACCACAUAAGGCUUGUGUUUCCAGAAGAGUUCCCUGAUCAUUUUUCAUUCUACACAAGGUCUAGCAAGAGAGAUGGGCAAUACAUCCAACAAUUGAAAUCGACUGUCCAGAAAACUAAUGGGAAGGAUGGUUGUGAAAUGAUGUGAAACUGGGGAGAAGAGACACCUAGUCUGGACUUAAGCAUUGGAAUGUUUUCGGCAGAGAAGUGGAAUCUAAGAAGAGGCUUAAAGAUGAGCAUGAUUUAGCCAUAUAUGGAGAGAAAAGAAGACACUUCCAAACACAGAACUCAUCUCCUUGUGGUCUAAAAGGAAGAUGAUAGUGUGGAGUAUUCCGAAAACCAAGGAGAAUUCAACCUGGCUAGAUCAUGGAGUUAGUGAGAAGUAUUGAACACUGGAACUAAAGAAUUGGCCAGUAUCUAGUUUUUAAACCUUUUAGAAACUAGGGUGAGAAUUUGGGUGGUAUCUUAUAGUCAAUCAGAAAUCAUUGAAGGGUUUAAAUAAUUGAAGACAUAAAUAGUUGUAAAACUGAUUUGCCAGGCUUUGGAAAAUGUUUGGAAGGCAUCUAGAGUGGAACUGAUGAGAGGAGGGAGGGGUAACCUGGAGCAGAGGUGUGGCCAUGACCAUGGGGAGAGCAUGCAGACUAGAGCUAUACAAAAGAGAUGGUUUCUUCCGGAGCUUUAGUUACAGUAAUUAAUAUCUUGAUGGUGUAAUGUGUAUUCCCUGGAUUGUGUUGGGUAAAACAAAUGCUGGUACUAUUUUGGUUUGGAUAUCAAAUACCACCAAAAGUCUCACAUGAGGAAGUAGGGUCUGGUCAGAAGGGGUGUGUAGUGAGGGUGUGGCUUGGAAGGGUGUAUUCUCAUCUCCAGCUCUUCUCUUUUCUUCUCUCUCUGCUCCCUGGUUGCCAUGUGGUGAAGACCUUUCUUCUGCCAUGCCACUCUGCCAUGUUGUUUCCACUCUGGAGUCAACUAACUAGAAAUGGAAUGGACGGCAAUUGUGGACCCAAAUAAAUCUCUUCUUUAAAUUGCAGGUGUUGGGUAUUUUGUCCCAGUGGCAGGAAAAUGACUAAUGUAGUUACCAUGCCAAAAGAAGAUGGUAGUUUGUUUAUAUCAGUGCUGAAUACUGCAUUACCUUUUAUCUCAAUAUUCUAGUAUCUUCAACCUUUUCUUUACUCAAACAUAUUUAUCACAUGCCUACUCUUAUGCCAGGCACUAAGCUAGACAUAAAUAACCUGACAGUGAGAUUAAAAGAUACUCUUAUGAAGCUUACAGUCCAUAAGUUUUGUAAGCAAAAUAACUAACUGAAUGAAAAACAUAGGUCUAAGUGCUAUCAGAUAGUAUGGUAAGGUAGAGUGCUGAGAAGUGACUACUCACAUUAGAGUAUCAGAGAAGGUCUCAUCAGAGA
Long non-coding RNA from Heterocephalus glaber (naked mole-rat), 1651 nucleotides. The record is from Ensembl. NCBI's taxonomy places the organism in Eukaryota, Metazoa, Chordata, Mammalia, Rodentia, Bathyergidae.